This 497-nucleotide ribosomal RNA is filed under the name uncultured bacterium. RNAcentral's name for it is "partial 16S ribosomal RNA". It matches the Rfam family "Bacterial small subunit ribosomal RNA", at positions 28 to 507 of the family's 1533-position model. The record is from RNAcentral.
GAUGAACGCUGGCGGCGUGCCUAAUACAUGCAAGUCGAGCGAACGGACGAGAAGCUUGCUUCUCUGAUGUUAGCGGCGGACGGGUGAGUAACACGUGGAUAACCUACCUAUAAGACUGGGAUAACUUCGGGAAACCGGAGCUAAUACCGGAUAAUAUUUUGAACCGCAUGGUUCAAAAGUGAAAGACGGUCUUGCUGUCACUUAUAGAUGGAUCCGCGCUGCAUUAGCUAGUUGGUAAGGUAACGGCUUACCAAGGCAACGAUGCAUAGCCGACCUGAGGGGGUGAUCGGCCACACUGGAACUGGGACACGGUCCAGACUCCUACGGGAGGCAGCAGUAGGGAAUCUUCCGCAAUGGGCGGAAGCCUGACGGAGCAACGCCGCGUGAGUGAUGAAGGUCUUCGGAUCGUAAAACUCUGUUAUUAGGGAAGAACAUAUGUGUAAGUAACUGUGCACAUCUUGACGGUACCUAAUCAGAAAGCCACGGCUAACUACGUG